GGGCGUAAAGCGUGCGCAGGCGGAUUGUUAAGCAAGAUGUGAAAUCCCCGGGCUUAACCUGGGAAUGGCAUUUUGAACUGGCAGUCUAGAGUGCGUCAGAGGGGGGUGGAAUUCCACGUGUAGCAGUGAAAUGCGUAGAGAUGUGGAGGAACACCAAUGGCGAAGGCAGCCCCCUGGGAUGACACUGACGCUCAUGUACGAAAGCGUGGGUAGCAAACAGGAUUAGAUACCCUGGUAGUCCACGCCCUAAACGAUGUCAACUGGUUGUUGGGGGAGUGAAAUCCCUUAGUAACGAAGCUAACGCGUGAAGUUGACCGCCUGGGGAGUACGGUCGCAAGAUUAAAACUCAAAGGAAUUGACGGGGACCCGCACAAGCGGUGGAUGAUGUGGAUUAAUUCGAUGCAACGCGAAAAACCUUACCUACCCUUGACAUGUCCGGAAUCCUGCAGAGAUGCGGGAGUGCUCGAAAGAGAACCGGAACACGGGUGCUGCAUGGCUGUCGUCAGCUCGUGUCGUGAGAUGUUGGGUUAAGUCCCGCAACGAGCGCAACCCUUAUCAUUAGUUGCUACGCAAGGGCACUCUAAUGAGACUGCCGGUGACAAACCGGAGGAAGGUGGGGAUGACGUCAAGUC
Molecule: ribosomal RNA, 632 nt
Filed under: uncultured bacterium
Lineage: Bacteria
Description: bacterial SSU rRNA
Rfam family: Bacterial small subunit ribosomal RNA
Source: RNAcentral